UUCCCUGUGGCUCAGUUGGUAGAGCAUGGUGUUUGCAGCGCCAGCAUGGUGUGUGCAACGCCAGGGUUGUGGGUUUAAUUCCCACGGGGGGAC
This is a non-coding RNA of Salmo salar (Atlantic salmon), 93 nucleotides long. The record is from Rfam. Lineage: Eukaryota; Metazoa; Chordata; Actinopteri; Salmoniformes; Salmonidae.